UGGCAUGACGACGGUGCAGGUACUGAACACAUGCAGUCGAACGGUAACAGGAAGCAGCUUGCUGUUUCGUUGACGAGUGGCGGACGGGUGAGUAAUGUCUGGGAAACUGCCUGAUGGAGGGGGAUAACUACUGGAAACGGUAGCUAAUACCGCAUAACGUCGCAAGACCAAAGAGGGGGACCUUAGGGCCUCUUGCCAUCGGAUGUGCCCAGAUGGGAUUAGCUAGUAGGUGGGGUAACGGCUCACCUAGGCGACGAUCCCUAGCUGGUCUGAGAGGAUGACCAGCCACACUGGAACUGAGACACGGUCCAGACUCCUACGGGAGGCAGCAGUGGGGAAUAUUGCACAAUGGGCGCAAGCCUGAUGCAGCCAUGCCGCGUGUAUGAAGAAGGCCUUCGGGUUGUAAAGUACUUUCAGCGGGGAGGAAGGGAGUAAAGUUAAUACCUUUGCUCAUUGACGUUACCCGCAGAAGAAGCACCGGCUAACUCCGUGCCAGCAGCCGCGGUAAUACGGAGGGUGCAAGCGUUAAUCGGAAUUACUGGGCGUAAAGCGCACGCAGGCGGUUUGUUAAGUCAGAUGUGAAAUCCCCGGGCUCAACCUGGGAACUGCAUCUGAUACUGUCAAGCUUGAGUCUCGUAGAGGGGGGUAGAAUUCCAGGUGUAGCGGUGGAAUGCGUAGAGAUCUGUAGGAAUACCGGUGGCGAAGGCGGCCCCCCUGCACGAAGACUGACGCUCAGGUGCGAAAGCGUGGGGAGCAAACAGGAUUAGAUACCCUGUAGUCCACGCCGUAAACGAUGUCGACUUGGAAGGUUGUGCCCAUGAGGCGUGCUUUCCGGAGCUAACGCGUUAAGUCGACUGCCUGGGGAGUACCGCCCGCAUGCUUAAAACUCAAUGACUUGACGGAAGGCGAA
This 910-nucleotide ribosomal RNA is filed under the name uncultured bacterium. RNAcentral's name for it is "bacterial SSU rRNA". It matches the Rfam family "Bacterial small subunit ribosomal RNA", at positions 26 to 924 of the family's 1533-position model. The record is from RNAcentral.